UCGGGAUAGCUCAGCUGGUAAAGCAAAGGACUGAAAAUCCUCGGGC
RNAcentral lists this transfer RNA (46 nucleotides) under Aquilaria sinensis. RNAcentral describes it as "partial tRNA-Phe". Lineage: Eukaryota; Viridiplantae; Streptophyta; Magnoliopsida; Malvales; Thymelaeaceae. The record is from RNAcentral.